CACGUAGGCGGCUUUGUAAGUUAGAGGUGAAAGCCCGGAGCUCAACUCCGGAAUUGCCUUUAAGACUGCAUCGCUCGAAUCAUGGAGAGGUGAGUGGAAUUCCGAGUGUAGAGGUGAAAUUCGUAGAUAUUCGGAAGAACACCAGUGGCGAAGGCGACUCACUGGACAUGUAUUGACGCUGAGGUGCGAAAGCGUGGGGAGCAAACA
Molecule: ribosomal RNA, 207 nt
Filed under: uncultured bacterium
Lineage: Bacteria
Description: partial 16S ribosomal RNA
Rfam family: Bacterial small subunit ribosomal RNA
Source: RNAcentral